UACGAAGGGAGCUAGCGUUGUUCGGAAUCACUGGGCGUAAAGGGUGCGUAGGCGGGGCUUUAAGUCAGGGGUGAAAUCCUGGAGCUCAACUCCAGAACUGCCUUUGAUACUGAAGAUCUUGAGUUCGGGAGAGGUGAGUGGAACUGCGAGUGUAGAGGUGAAAUUCGUAGAUAUUCGCAAGAACACCAGUGGCGAAGGCGGCUCACUGGCCCGAUACUGACGCUGAGGCACGAAAGCGUGGGGAGCAAACAGG
Molecule: ribosomal RNA, 253 nt
Filed under: uncultured bacterium
Lineage: Bacteria
Description: partial 16S ribosomal RNA
Rfam family: Bacterial small subunit ribosomal RNA
Source: RNAcentral